GUGGUAUACGCAUCAGUGUUCAUAGAGCUGAAGAUAUAGCAUGCUACAAAGUCAUGUUUCUAGGAAGUAUGUAGAAGUUAUGUUCAAGUUUUGCGUUUGGGGACUUAGGGAAUGAUCAUCUUUGGUUUUUUAUUGGUAAGUUGUUGGAAUUCAGUAGAUACCAGUUGCCCUGAUACUUUGAAAUAUUUGACACCUGACAGAGUGUAUUGAUGUACCUAAAAGAACAGAUUUAGAGUUUAAAAGUAGCAUUCAACUUUAAGGCUGUUAUAAGUUCUUAGAAUAUCUUACUGCUGGAAGUUGAUGAGCACUCCUAAAUGUUCGAGGCUUGGAUUUGAAACAAGCAGGUGACUCUAAGAACCUUUUUCCUUUUUUUCUUUUUUAUUGCACAUUACCAUUAGGAAGGAGUGAGACUGAGUCUCCUGACCCAUCCGUAGUUGUAGCUAAGCAAAUUUAUCAAUUCUUAUUUUUGUCGUAUUCUAACUUUUUGUCAUGUAUUCUUUGCAUAUGAUGAAGUCCUAAGUGUUAUUUAUGAGCGGUGUAACUACAUGGGUCAGGAAAAAGUAUUCUAUAUUCCUAAAGUUCUGUGGAGUUGGGAGUUUUGGUACACAGUGGUAAUGUGCUGUGUUUUAUGCUGUUAUUUUGUGCAGUUAAAAAAGUAUGCUAAGAAACAGCAAAUUUUGGCCUUUCAAUAGAUAUUAGGAGAUGAAGAGAAUUUUGUCAGUAGCAGUUUUUUACAUUGACCUAGUGUCUUAGCUGUGAAUUUAUUUCAAGUGUUCUGAAUUGUAGUUGUGGGGAGAGUGGUAGUACUUAAUGCACAUUUUAGUAUACAAUAGUAAAAUAAUGUUUAUUUUGCCUAAGAUCAUGGAAGCUAGGAUGAGAAGAUUGUAAAGUUAACACUGAAUGUGUUUAAAAAUACUUGAGGUUCAGUCUACAUUUAUUGCAGUUAGUAACCCAGCUAUAGAUUUUUGUUUAAAUAGCAACUGAAAAAUAACAGUAUUUUUCUUUGAUGAAGUUUUAGAGAUCUAUUUUAAGGUUCAAUUUUCCCUGUGAACUUUGAAAUAGAAACAUUAUCUUAACCAUUAUUACUCUUGAAAUUAUUCUGUUAGAAUGGUUGUGUGUCAUUUGAGCAUUUUAUUUAAAAGUGUGGUAUUAAAAUUUCAAGGUGGACAAAUAACUGAAAUGCUUUACUCUGUAGUCCAGUGCUGUAAGAACUCUUACUGUAAGAGCUGUUUCUGAUCACAUAUGGCUGAAGUUAAGUGAAAUGUAAUGAUUGAUUCCAAAAAUUGUUACCAAAUGAUUUACAGGUUAACUUCAUGGAAACAGGAAACAAUUUAUAGUUUAGAAUGAAUUCAGUGUUAUAUCAGUGAAUUAGGUAUUAUAAAUUUUUUGCCAGAACACCUGGGUGCUUGCUUUUACUAUAAUUUCCCUUGCUUGAAUUAGAUAUUUUAAUUUUUGAAAAUAUUAGCCAUAUAUAAAGUAUCAAUUGUGUAUGUAUUUUUAAAAGGUAGCCAGUAUAGUGCACUAUGGGACAAAUCUAAGUUUUGUCACCCUGGGAUUUUACUUUUGAAAGGGGACCUUGAGAACCAUCUUAUUUUGCAGUUGGGCUGAGACCUCUAUAUUAAAAAAAAAACAAAAAAAACCAAAAGCUUAAUCCAGUAGAGAUUUGUUGGUUGACUUUAGUUAGAAAUAUCUUUUAGGUUACAUAACUGUAAUAUAUAGUGUUGUUAACUGAAGUAACUAAAUUUGGAGUAUACAUUUAAGAAUGUAUUUUGAGUUUUGUUGAAUAGACUUCUAUAUAUGUGUAUGGGUCUGAAUUAAAAACUAAUUUUAUGAUAUCUAUGGAGUUAGAGUUGAUGAGAUCUGCUAUAUAUUUUUAAAUAGUUUUAUUUUUAAGUAGUGAAUUUCCUGAGUGACUUCCCCCAAAGAUAAGAAAAGCUCACAUUCAAAAUCAUAAUAUGGUGAGGAAUUACUCCUCUGAACAGAUUAUAUGUUUGUUCUUUUUAUUGUAUUUUAUGUACUUUCCUUUCUCUUUUAAAAAUUGAUUGGUUUGCUGUUAUGAACCUAGAUAUUCUCAAAAAAAUUAUACAGAGUGUAUUUGACAGUGAUGGAGAAAGGAAAAGAUAGGCCAGAAGUACUUUCACAUUUAGGCCUUAAUUAAUUCAGCAAAUGGUUAUUGAGUGAGUACCUAUUGUGGGCCAGGCACUCUGGAACUGAAUUGGCAUUAUCUCAAGUUCCUCUUUAUUCUUUUCUGUAUCAAUUUUUAACUUUUAUUGCUUGGAGAUACCAGCCUUUGGAAGGAACCGUAGAAUUGUAUGUUAGAUUUUCAGCAACUGAGUAGUGUUUGCUGCUUUUUGUGGGAUCAGCUGUGUAGAAGUAGUUCUUUUUUUUUUUUUUUAAGAGUUUUUGUGAACACACUUGAACUUAAGUGUGUUUUCACACUGAUAAAUAGGAAAAUCCAUGGGAUACUAUGAUCUAAAAGUUUAAUCUAUGUUGUAAGGGAAAUUUCUGAGCUAGCUUUAGGGUUGUGGUAGUUUAUGGUAAGUGUAUUUAACUUGAUGUGUUUACUAUGUGCCACACAUUACUUUAAAGCUGUACAUCUAUUAACUCAUUUAAUUCUCAUACAUAUCCAUGAAGUAGGUACUGUUAUGUUACAAGUGAAGAAACUGAGGCAUAAAAGAGGUUUACUAAUUUCUCUAAGUCGCAGAGAUAUUAAGUGGCAAAGCUGGGAUUUGAACUUGGGCAGUCUGGCUCCAGUCUUUGUAACAGCUUUAGCUACCUCCUGCCUCUUGGGAGUUGUUACAUACAGUGCCUGACACUGCACUCAGGUACACAGUUGUGAAUAUUUUUGGUGUUAAUUCCAUAGCACAUUCUCUAAUUAUGAAAGGCCAUAUGUCCUUCUACCCCCUACCCCUUCUUGGUUUGUGUCCCUUUUUUCUCUUUCUAUCAUAGAAUGAAUUCUAAAACUGACUUUGAAUCAGUGAUAAGAAUGUAUCAGAAACCAAAGAUUAUGAAAAAUCUAGUUUUGUGUGCCUGAGAUCUAUAAAAAAAUAAUUUUGUUUACAUGACAUUUUAUUUCUCUUAAAGAUAAUUUCUGUGCUUAUUAAUUUUCAUUUUAUUUAUCACUGAAAUUUUCUGAUUUGCACUUUGGGAUUUGUUGCAUGGUUGUAAGUAGAGUGCUUUCAUUUUGGACCAAAUGUUGCUUUCCCUUGAAUUGUGGCAUAUAGGUGAGAGUGAUAGUGUGACACUGGCUUAAAUAACAACUUGCUUCUUGAAAAUUUAUUUGCUUUUGAAAGAUUUUACUGUAAGAUAAUUUGUUCAUUUAUUUCAUUUAUUCAUAUAACAAACAUUUAGAUGCCUACCGUGAACAAUGAAUUUAGGAUUUAGGUCUUGUUGAGGAUUAAGGUAGAGAGAUGUGAAAUAAAUAUUUUUGGAAUUAUUUUUUAGUUUAUGAAAUACAGCUUUUAGUUUAUACAUUCUUUUGUCAUAUCAAUUAAGCAUUGUGAAUCUCAGAAAUAAUGAGAUGUUUCUUGGGUGGGGCUGUAUUAUUUGAGGUUGUGAUGGUCUAUUUAAAAAAUUAUCUUGGGGCGCCUGGGUGGCUCAGUCGGUUGAGUGUCCGACUUCAGCUCAGGUCACGAUCUCGCGGUCCGUGAGUUCGAGCCCCGCGUCAGGCUCUGGGCUGAUGGCUCAGAGCCUGGAGCCUGCUUCUGAUUCUGUGUCUCCCUCUCUCUCUGCCCCUCCCCCAUUCAUGCUCUAUCUCUCUCUGUCUCAAAAAUAAAUAAAUGUUAAAAAAAAAUUAAAAAAUUAUCUUUAGGGGCGCCUGGGUGGCUCAGUUGGUUAAACAUCUGAUUCUUGAUUUUGGUUCAGGGCAUGAUCUCACUGUUGGUUCAUGAGAUCGAGUCCCCAGUCCCCCUACUUAGGAUUCUUUCUCUUUACCUCUUUUUCUGCCCCUCCACCCCUCUAAAAAAAUAAAUAAACACCAAAAAAAAAAAAUAUCUUUAGACACUGAGUCUUGGAAGGAACCUUUUCAGGAAUAAUUUUCACCUUGAUAUCAAAUUUCUGGGUUCAUUUUACACACAGAAAAAUCUAGCUUAUGUUCCUUCUUACUAGUCCAGAAAACUGUACUCUUAAUGAUAAUUAACCACGUCAUUGAAAUGUUAUUUUGUGGAGUAGUAUUGUGGAACAGAGUUAUAAUUUGCAGAAGCAUUACAAUUGGAAAGGGAAGAGAAAGUAUUGUCAACUAAUGUUAUUGUUUAGUUAUUACCAUAUUUAGGUAACUUAGAGUAGAAAGAUCAAGCGAUACAUUUAAAACCUUCUAAGUUACGUCAGUACAGUAAACUCUUAGUAUACUGAAUCCAAAUUAUUUUUCUUAGUGGAAUUUGACAUUUUAAAUUUGUAGAAUAAAUGGGACUUUGACAGGAACUUAGAUUUUUGAUGUAGGGAUGCAAAUAUGUUUUCAUAUUUGAAAACACUGAGUUAAGAAUAAUAAAGCUUUGAUUUAGCUAUUUGGAAAUGGCCUUUAUAGUAAGAUUGAUGCUACAUCAAUUUUCGGUGACUCUAAUUGGACUGUGAGGAAAAGCUGGCUAGAAAUAAAAAAUAAAAAUUUGUUACUAACAAUUUAUCGAGGUAGAUUAAAUAUAAAUGGGGUUAGGAAUUGACUUUGUCUCAGCAGACUUGUUCUUAUUUAAAAAAAAAAAAACCCAGAAAUUUAAAAAUAAUUCAGGCAGAGAUAUAUUUAUAAUGCAGUAUUUAUUUAAAUUCAAUCAACUGUACAGGUAAUUUUUGGUCUUCUAGUUAGCUUGUGAGCUCUGUGUGUUUUGGUAAUUUUCAGUCCAUGACACACCCUGAAAGAAAAUUUGAGCUACUAAAGCAACCUUUGGUUUAGCCAUUGCUAAUCAAAACUUCUAUACCUAGCCAAUGCACACAACCUAAACAUUUUUCUUACACUUAACAGUUACUAGCACUCUACUCUUUUUUGGACUAAUUUCUAAUAAAUUGAUGAAAUAAAGGGAAGAAAUUAAUGAAGACAUCAGAUACUACAAAGUGCUUCAGGAAUAGGACCUAGAGGAUCUAACCAUUUUGACCUUUCUUUGCCCUGUAUCAGUAGGCCAAGGGAAUGUAAGCAGUUGCUUAUAGAAACCUAUUAAUAGCUAACAUUUGUUAAAGGGCUAACAAUGCAUUGAGUACUGUUCUGAGUGCUUUGACAUGUUUUCUUAUUGAAGGCUCAGAAGAAUUUGAGAUGGUUAAAUUUUAUAGGUGUAAUAUAUAUAAUAGCCAUUUAAUAACAUUUAAUAAUACAGGUUUUCAUUAUGGCUUCUCAUAAAACACCAAAUGAAAAAUGUAUGCAAAAUACAUUAUCUUCUUGUCUUUGCUGCCUGUUUUUUAUUUAGUUCAUCCUGACAUAUGAGCCAGUGUUUUUUUAUAUUACACUUAUCUUUAAUAUUAUGAAAGCAAAUAGAUAAUAGGAUUUUUUUCUUUCUAUUUACAGUAUUGGAGAAAGUAUAUUUUCUAUACUGACUUGGAUCUUAGCUAUAUAAGAGGACUGAAUCUGGCUGCCAUGUUGGCUGGUUAAAGUAGAAUUAAGAAGAUUUUUAAAAAGUGAACUGGGAAGUGUUAAAAUUAGAAUAAUGAAUACUUUUCAUGUUCUGAUUUAAACAUUUUUAAAGAAACAAAUGAUUGUUACGCAUAGGAAUUAUUAAGAGCCUCCUUCUGGUAAAGUUGUUUACCAGUUGGCUACUUAUGGGUGGAGUCAGUUCACAAAGGACCUGCAGCAGAUGAAUUAGACCUGUAGCGACUUCACCCUUCUGCUUUUCCCAGCUGGAGCAGGAUUAGGACUCAUUCAGCUGCAGCUGGUUCCCAGGAAAAUCUAGACUGCUUCUUCUGGUGUUUUCCUUUGACAGGAAAGUCAUAGUUCCCGACAGAUGGCUUUCAUCAGCACUGUACAUAACUCUGUAAAUUCAAGUCCAAAGAACUACUCUCAACUUCAUUAGGGAACAGGCAAAGAAACUGUUUGUAAUAUGGUAUUAUUUGGUUAAGGGUUGAAAUUAAGCAUAGGGAUUAUAGUGGUGUAGUAUUUCGAUUUGCAGAAUGCCAUACUGGGUCAAAAUAGUUUUUAACUGCUGGCAAUUAAAAAAAAAAAAAAAAGACCUAAGGAAAAAUAAGUCUAGCUAUGGUGUUAGGUAUAUUUUAUACUUGGAUUAUAUUAUGCUUACAAAGUACAGAUAAAUUCUUUGAAAAAAAGAAUCUUUUGCAUUUUGUAGAAUUUUGAGCCAGUAACAGUCUUGGAUAACAGUAUUUCUAAUCUUAUUUCAUGAAUAGAGAAAUUGAGGGUCAAAGAGAUUUAAGUGUCUAGUUCAGUGCCGUGCAGCAGGUUAAUCUGGGAGAAAGUGGUCAGACCCUUCUCAGUUCUUUGCUUUUUUUCUCAUUAGGCUGUAGUACUGCUUUAAAGUGUUAGAGAGCAACAAGUAUAAAAUAAUGUAUUUCUUAAUGGAAACCAUAGAAUAAACUCUGGUCUAGAGAGUUUUGGUGGUUUUUAUAAACCACAAAUAUGUAAAUCAGCUUGUUUCAGUGUUUGAAGAUAGCUGUACAUUCUUGAAAGUUGAAGCAAUAUUUUAUCAUUUUGUAAAAGACUGCUUUCUUAUGGUCCACAUUAGAGGAAUUAGAAAGUGGUCCUCUGUUUUUAGGUAUGUAUCAGAAGAACAUGUUGAGCUACCAUAAUGCUGGAAGAGAAAGUACUUGAAUUUUGAAAGAAAAAAAAAAGGUCUGCUUAUAGUUAAGUCUGAUUUUCAGAAAGUUGACAACAUAGAUCUUUGGAGUGACUUGGAUAAUUGGUUAGAACUUAAAAUGUUUAGGACUGAGAUAGAAAGGUACAAGCUUUUCUAUUAAUGAAGUAAUUCUUAUUAAAGUCAUUAAAUAUGGGGAAAACAAAUGUAGAGUCUACCAUGCAUUGUUAUGUAUACAUAGAAUCUUAAUUCUGGGUGAUGAUUUGUAAUAGGAAACAAACCUUAAAAGAGAAGGCAGCAAACAGAUUAUGUUUGUCUUUUUUGGUCGUUUUGACUAACAGUUCAUCUCUGCAUUAUUUUACUUUGUGGUAAAAUUUUGCAGUGCGUUACAGUAAUGGCAAAUAAAGAUUGAGAUUGGAGACAGUUAUUUAUACAAUAACUGGGUGGUUUUAAGAUUAUUGGUAAAACUGAUUAGGGAGAAAAUGACGUGGAAAGAAAAUCUGUCAGCUAAAAAACUUAAAGUUUUUGUAUGUGUGAAAGAAGACAGCUGAUUCCUUUGCCAUUUACCUUUCGUGCAGAAGGUAGAGAUUCCGUGUGUGUGUGUGGCAAGGGGUGGGGGGUGGGGGGUGGUGUUAUCAUGCUUAUAUUAUAGGCUGCUUUUUCCUCCAGGGAAUUGUGAACUGUAGUUGACCUGGAGAGGUGCUGUUAAGUUGGUUUUCAAUUCUUUCUGCUUAGUAGACUGCAGGUUUUUCUUUUUCUUUCAUUGGCUACAGUGAAGCAUUUAACUCCUGAGUUUUCUAGAACCUGUAACAGAACCCUUAGAAACAUUAUUAAAUUUUUUUGUGUGUUGAGUGUGAUGCUGUGCUUUAGGGUGGUUUCCCAACUUUUCUGUUGAGCAUAUCUUUAAAUAUCUGACUUAGGGUUUAGAUCCUCUUUUACCAUUUUCCUGCUUUAGUUAUUUAAUUUCUUCUCAUGCCAGUAAAUUCUUACUUAAAUUUGUAACUUAAAUCUAAAGCAGUGAUACUAAAUCCAUUUUUGACCCAAGGAGCCUCAAAAAAUAGACACCAGGGCAGUUAAAUUUAGCAGUGGGGCCCAGAGAUGAGAUUUUUUAAAUUUUGUUUUGUUUUGAGGUCGCCAUGUGCAUCUUCAGUACAGCCAGGGUUGAAAACCCUCUAUUUGAACUUGCUGAGGGGGUUAGGACAGAAGCAGAUGCUUUUUACCUAAUCAUCGAAAUUCAGACAAAUUCAUGAAACAACAUACUUCACCCCCACUCUCAUGAACACACUUUGAACCAGGACAGUGUACUUAUGGAAACCUAAAUUUUGUUUUAUCCUACUUCCUGACCAUAAGUGCCCUAAUGUUUCACUUUUCUCUCCUACGCACCUGCUCUUUUUUUUCUCGUCAGGGUCUCAUUUGGUGCAUAUUCUGGAGAAGGUUCCAUGUGUGAGUUUGAUGGGUGCCCCCCUCCCACCACUCUAAUGCUUUUCUUCUAAUUGCUUGGCCUUAUGGUUUAUCACCUCAGUUACUCGCUUUACUCCUCCAAUUGGCAAACCCCAGACUUGACACUAAGCCAAUCAUUUUUCUCUCCCUGCUUCUUAUGUGACUGUUUAUCAUUUUGAAGAAAAUUACACGAACCAUGUGGUGGGAUGCCACUUACAAAUUUGUAACAUCUAAUCAGUUCUGUUUUGGGAUGUAUGUCUGUGUCUUUAGUCUGUUCUCUCUGCAGCAGUUCAGUAUUUCCUCCAGCCCUUUCGCUUUUCUCAUUGUCAGCUGACCCUCCUGUAUUCUCCUUCACAGAAUGGAAUCUCUCUGGCCAUAUGAGCUCAUUCAGUUUAUACCCCUCCCACACAAACCUACAUAUGUCUGUACGUAUUUUACCCCCUUUGCUACCUUUUCAGAGGUUAUAAAAGAAGUGUCUUGUCUAGAGCUCAUCUCUCUGUGUAUAGGAAUCUGUUCUCUCCUGUCUCGGGGGCUUUGUUCCAUCAAUAAUAUUCCCAGUCUUCCCCUUAACAUGGGGAAGUCUCUCCCAUCAAAUUAGAGUAAAAGCAAACAAAAACACUGCUCCAAAUCCUUCUCUACAUCUACACUCUAUUGUCUUCCCUUCAUUUUGAAACUCCUUGAGAAAAAGUCUGUAUUCAUUCCAUAUCUGUUGCAAUCUGCCCUUUGGCCUAGAGCACCAUUGGAAACAGCUCUUAUGGACAGUUUUCAGUCUUUAUGUUACCUGACUUCUCUGCAGCAUUUAUGGUUGUUAACCAUUCUCUCCUCCCUUGACCUCUGGGAUAAUUUUUUGCUAGGUGUCUGUUUCUGCAUCUUUCUGAUUAUUUUCAGUUUACUGGCUCCUUAUCUUUUGCCUGAAUCUUAUAUAUUGGACUCCCUAAGGUCCUGAUCUGUGCCUACUUGUUGUUUCAACCAUUUGAGUUCUGUCUAGACUUAACCUUCACUAUACUAAUGACUAAAUUCAUAACCCAAACCUCUCUUUUGAGCUGUAGACUUGUAUAUCCCACAGUGUAGUGUCUUUUCUCAGCCAUUUCAAAUUCAGUGAUGACCCAGAUGGAAUGGAAUUUAUCACCUUCAACUUGUUCUUUUGAUUUCUUACUGUGGUACAAGACAUUGACAUUGACUCUGAUUCCUAAAAGAAACUUUGGUAUUCUACACUUCACUUGCACUUCUUUUGGAUUCAGCUCUAGUCUGCCCCCAGUCUUUUCUGCUUCUUUAACGUCUUUUAAUUAACUGCUAUUCCAGCUGCUACUCUCUCAGUGCAGGUCCUUGUCAUUUCUCUCCUGAUUUACCUCAGUAGUUUCCUCAUUGGUGUUCCUUCCUCCAGUAUCCUUUCCCUCCAGUCCACAUUAUUGCCAAGAAUGAUCUUGUUAAGAAGUGAUUAAGAACACAGGCCCAAGAACCAGACCAUCUGGGUUUGCAUCCCAUAUUGGCAGCACUUGCUUUAUGGCCUUGGGUAAUUUGCUUAAUUUUUCUUUGCCACAUUUCUUUCUAUAAAAUGGAGAUAAUACAGUACCUAUCUCAAAAUGAAGUUUUGAAGAUUUAAUGAGUUAAUAUGUAUCAGUGUUGUCUAAUAGUGCUUUGUGUGAUGAUGGAAUGAAUGUUCUAUGUCUGUGCUCACUACAGUAGCCACUGGCCAUAUGUGGCUCUUGAAAUGUGGUUGUUUGACUAAAGAACUUUAAUUUAAUUUAAUUUAACUGAAAUAGCCAUAUGUCUAAUAGUUACUGGACAGUACAGAAUACAUAAAAUCCAGUGCUCUAUAAAUACUAGCUAUUAUUACCAUCUUUCUGAAGUUAAACUUACUUCUCUGGUUAAAAUUCUUUAGUGCCAAAUUCUUUGGUAUAGAGUAUAUAGUUUUUAACCCCCUUCACCCCAUCGCAUUGCUCUGAACUUGUCUACUGCUAUUUCUUAUGCCCUCUGUGUUCCACUAUUCUAGUGGUUUUCAAAGUGUUGUCCCAGGGGUUAGAAGUAGUAGUGUCACCUGAAAAUGUUUGAAAUGCAGAUUCUUGGGCCAUAUUCCAGGCAUACUGAAUCACAAACUGGGGGGUGGGGUCUAGCAACUUGUAUGUUAAUAAGCCCUCCAGGUGAUUAUGAUGCAUGCUAAGGUUUGAGAACCACUGUACAUCCCAAACUACUUGUAGUUCCUCAGAUCCACCUUGUUUUCUAUUGCUCUUGUUUUUCUCCUGUCUGGAAUGAUUAUCCUUUCUCUUUUCUUCACUGAUUAGCUCUUAUUUAAUCUUGCAGGCUUAAUUUAGGCAUAUCCUCUUUCCAUUUCUUUCUUCAUUAUUACUCAUCCUGCUUCCAGGAUGACUUAGUGCUCUUUAUGCCUCUGAGAUCCUGUACAUGCCUCCAUCGUAGCCCAUUCUGUAUUGUAUUGUUGCUUUAGCUUGUCUCCUACUAGACAGGGAAUUUAGGAUCUUGUUUUUUUGUCCUUGUAUCCCUAUCUGGCACAAUGUCUGGUAUGCUUUGUAAGUAUGUAUGGAACAUUUUCAGGUGUCAGCACAGUGAUUAAGUCCUGGGUAAAGGACAUACUGUCUGUGUAAUUAACACAGUGAUAAGGGCUCUGAUGGGGUAAAACCGAGUGCUGUGGAAACACAGGAAGGGGUGGAGAAAACUAGGGAAGUCUUCUCAGAGGAAGUCACAUGUGAGAGGUUAGUGAGGUGGGGAAGCAAAUGGGUGGGGUGGGAAAGAGUGGUUCCUGCAGAGGGAACAGCAUGUACAAAGGCCUAGAAGCAAAACAUUGUAGGCUCUUUAUAAAUGUUUAAUUGAAUAUGAAUAAAGAACCAAAUCACACAUCUAACUUUUAGAUCUUAGUUUUGGAGUCACUACCCUCCCCAGCAAACAUUAGUUAGCAUUUAUUCUUGAUAUACUGCUUUCUUUGAGAUGAUGGUAAGGUGUGAUAGGGUAACCUCCAAGCCAGCAGGAUACGUGUGUGUGCGCGCGCGUGCGUGUGUUUGCUAGCCUUUUAGCGGUAGAAGAUAAGAUUUGUUUCAUCUGAAUUAUUCUGCAGCGUGAGUAUACAUCAGUGGUGGCUGAGGUAAACGCAUUGCUCUCAUUGCUUAAGAAUAGACCAAGAUUUGGGGCGCCUGGGUGACUCAGUCAGUUAAGUGUCUGACUUGGCUCAGGUCAUGAUCUCACGGUUUGUGAGUUGGAGCCCGCGUUGGGCUCUGUGCUGACAGCUCAGAGCCUGGAGCCUGCUUCAGAUUCUUUGUCUCCCCCCCUCUGCCCCUUCCCCACUUUCGUUCUGUCUCUCAAAACUAAAUAAAAAUUAAAACAAAAAAAAAAGAAUAGAGCAAGAUUUUAAACAAGCAACUUGAAACUUAAGAGCACUGACAAAGCAUAUCAUUAAGAAGGCUGAAAGGCUACCAGCAUGACAGCCACAGCUUGGUACUUUUGUAGCUCCACUCUGUAUUGGCCCUUUUUGCCCUUAUUGCUGCCACCCUAGGUUUCCUGUUGGUCUCAUUAACCCUCCAUUGUAAGAGCAUCAAGGCCUUGGUUAAUGUGCUGUGUAAGCUCCAACUUUGAGUUGCAGUUGAAUACCUGCUUUCCUCUGUUUGGGAUUUUACAUAUGUAACUUUGAGUAAAAAUGUACCUUUUUCUUUGAAUGCUUUACAAGUGGGUUGGCUUUGUCAUCUAUUAACUUUGAAAGAACAAUAAAAAUAAAGUUUUGUUUCUAAUAACUUCAGCUAAGCAGAGAACUCUUCAGCAAAGAAAGCUAGAGAAAGAAAAAGUGAAAUAAAGUAUUUCUCCCUAAAACUUCAUAUGGGUGGUAUAAUUAUGUUUCUGAAGUGUUUCACAGAUGAUAAAAGAUUUUGGUUUCACAUAUAUCUUCUUUUGCUCUAACACUUUCGUAGUACGGUAGGCCAUCCAGGUGUUAUGAUUGCUAGAUUUUGUGUAUGGAGAGUUAUAUGGUUCAUUAAGGGAAGAAAUGGAACUAUAGUCCUGGUCUCUUUCAAUCCCAGUACUUCUCAGCAACAUCAGGCUGCUUCUUGUUCAUGAAAAUGACAAGCGUUAAAAAAAAAAGUGGUGUCUUUUACCGUUUAUUACAUACAUCUGUCAAACCAUUUAUCAGGUCAUACAUGUUAUUAAUCUUUGUAUUCACUUUGUAAGAUGCUCAGAAAAUGUUGAACUGAAACUGUCAGGUUUAAACUGGAAGGAGGAAUGAUAGAAAUCAGGUUGACUUAAAAAAAAACAACUAUUAACUCUCUUAGUAAACUUAGAAGCUAAACCAUUUAUCCUCUCAAAAUUUAUAGCCUCUAUAGAUUUAAAAGGGGAGAUAGAGUUUCAGAUGUUUUCUGCAAAUGUUUGAUACAUCAGCUGUAAAGUAUCAUUUGCUACUUCCUUCAAGAUAUUUGUUCUCUAUUACCCAUAAAGUAUUUUAAAAAGUUUAAGAAAUUGUGUUUUCCUAAUAGGUAAUAAUAAUUCAUUAGUGCGUAAAAUUAAAAAAGUACAAAAGAGUUCCAUUAAAAGUAUUCUUUUAACUCCAGUUCCACAAGCAGCCAGUUCCCUUCCUGGGAUGUAGUCAAUGAGUUUGGUUUCUACCCUCCAAAGAGAUUCUCUGUGUAUAUAAGCAGUCACUUAUAUAUAUGUUUUUUUCUCCCAUAUAGAGCAUACCUUAGAGCAUACCUUAAUACACUUUUCUACAUCUUGCUUUGUUUUUCUUCCCGCUUAACAAUGUAUCUUAAAAGUGUGUUCCAUGUCAUUAUAUAAGAUUUGGUGGUAUUCUGUUUUAUGGAUGUACCAUAAUUUACGUAAUUAGUUCCUCACUGAUGGACAUUUCUUUCCAAUUUUUUUUUUUAUUACAAACAGUACUCAGUAACCUCCAUUGUGCAUUAUUUUAGACUUGUAGGUUCCUAGAAAUGGAACAAUUGGGUCAAAGAAUAUGUAUGACUUUGUAAGUUUGGUAUUUCUAAAUUUCUCUCCAUAGAGAUUACCCAACAGUGUAUCAGAGUACUUUUUCCCUACAUCCUUCACAACACAGUGUUAUCAAACUUUUUGAUUUUUGGCAGUCUUAUAAUGAGUGAAAAAUCAUUAUCUACUUAAAGAAAAUUUUCUUUAAUGUUUGUUUAUUUUUGAGAGAGAGAGAGAGAGAGAGAGAGAGAGAGCGAGCGAGCUGGGAAGAGGCAGAGAGAGGGGGAGACACAAAAUCCGCAGCAAGCUCCAGGCUUGAACACACGAGCUGCAAGAUCAUGACCUGAGCUGAAGUCAGAUGCUUAACUGACUGAGCCACCCAGGUGCCCCUAUCCAUUUUUUAAUGUUUAUUUUUGAGAAAGAGAGAGCGAGAGAGAGCGCGCGCACGGGAGCAGGGGAGGGUGAGGGAGACAGGAUCCAAAGCAGGCUCUGUGCUGACAGCAGUGAGCUGGAUGUGGGGCUCAAACUCACAAACCAUGAGAUCAUGACGUGAGCCGAAGUCAACUGCCUCAGCCACCCAGGCGCCCCAAUCCAUUUUUGACUGCAUUCUUUGACUCUUAUUGGAGUUUGUUCUUCCAACCUAGUGCCCAGAGACAGCCUCUGAUCUGUAUUUCUACUACUAGUGUGUCUUAAGCCUGAUUACUUAAAAACAUACAAACAUACAUACUUAGAGGUAAUCAGAAAUUUGUUUAGUUGUUUUUUUUUUAUAACUGCUAUAUGGUGUUGCUUUGAGAAAUAUGUAGGUCGUUUUGCAUGGUCUUUUGUAAGCCUGUAACAACUUCUCUCUUGUAGUGGCCUGUACUGUUAGAUUUCUGUCCUGUAGAAUCACCCUCCACACAUCCACCCGCUCCCUUGCCCCACCAUCUUAGCUUUGUUGCUUUUCUACUGAUGGUGGGGAAACCUUGUUUGAUUGAUUAUGUUCAUGUUUGUCAGUCUUUUUAAAGUGCAUGUUAUAUAGUACUUGCAUUUGAAAAUUUACAUAAUUUUGAAUAAAUAUUAUGUACUAGAUAUUUAAGGAAGAUUGUCUAUUUUUAGAUGAACUAAAGGCUCAUAGAGGUCAAGUGAUUUGCCCAAGAUUAUAUAGCAAAAUAUACGUGCUUAGAAUGUAGAGGCUAGUGGAAUGGUCAAAAGAAAAAAAACACUAUGAAUUCAGAGUUGAGAUAAACUAAGAUUCUGGUAAAUUGGUCCAGUAGUUUAAAGUACUUCGCAAAUUAUUACAACUCUAAUUCUGAUUAUUUUGGGGCUUAUAUAAGAUAUUUAAGGGCCAUACAUCUCAGCCUCAUCACUUAACUUAUUGUUUAAUCUUUAAGUUUAUCCUCAAGUGUCAGUUUCUUUUCUGCAAAAGGGAUAGUAAUAGUAUCUAAAUUACCAAACUCAUCGAGCAACAGCCUUUUUGAAGAUUAUUUUUAGUCUAGGCAGGUCAUAGCUGCUAUGGUUUUUUAGCGUUUGUUUUCAGAAACAAAUAUCAGGAAGUAGUGCUGACUUCCCUUUCUUUUCUUCAGUGAAACAACAAAACAAAUCAGUUUAUUAACCCGCAAAAUAUUGCCAUUGUAUUUUGAAAACUAUUUGAAGUCUUUAUGAACACCUCUCAAUUUUAAGAGGACAUAGAAACAGACAUCUUGAUAGGUUAAAAUUGUUCAUAUACUUUAUAAUCCAUUUAAAUUAGGAUGGACAUUCUCUGGUCAUACUCCUUUGGAAUAGGCAGAAUAUUUGAAUAGUCCCCCCAUUUGGACCUAUUUUUUUUAGUAACAGUGUUUCUCCCCCUACCCCCAUAAAAGAACAAAAUAACAACCCCCUUUGUCAAAGUCAUCAAAAUAAGUCUUUAUUUUAUGUCUUGAAGCUCAGGAUUAGGGUAAGGAUGAAGUCCUGGAGCUGCUGUUUUUCCCCAUGCAAAGUGACCUAGCUCAUAUUAAGAAUCAAACUAAUGAGUUUAAUAUAAUUAAGCACCACAUCGUAUAGUAUGGUUUCUCAAAUUUUCAUCUGGGAAUCUUGUUAAAAUUCGAUUUUAGGUCUUCGGUGAGGCCUGAGAUUUUGCAUUUCUAACAAGGUCCCAAGUAUUCCAUUGCUGAGCAGGAUACACUUUGAGUAACAAGUUUCUGUAGGAUCGAAUCUCUCCUGUACUCUUGACUAAUUGUGUUAAGUCAUAUGCUUAUUUUCAGACAUGCAUUCAGCAGAUAUCCACAGAAUCUCUGUGUUCCAGCUGCUAUGCUAGGUACUGGGAUUAUUAUGUAACAGGGAUACUACAUAGAUACUCUGCCCUUACCAAGGAAAUAACAAUAAAUUACAUGAAGUGGUGAUGCCUAAGUCCAGGGAGCUCUGAGAAUCUAAGUACAAAAACUGCUUUUUAAAAAAAAAAAAAAAAAACAGGAAGAGAAGGAAA
Long non-coding RNA from Neofelis nebulosa (Clouded leopard), 15507 nucleotides. RefSeq lists it as uncharacterized. Lineage: Eukaryota; Metazoa; Chordata; Mammalia; Carnivora; Felidae. The transcript has 2 exons. The record is from RefSeq and is a predicted model, not a curated record.